Molecule: ribosomal RNA, 494 nt
Filed under: uncultured bacterium
Lineage: Bacteria
Description: bacterial SSU rRNA
Rfam family: Bacterial small subunit ribosomal RNA
Source: RNAcentral
AAAGGAAUAGACGGGGGCCCGCACAAGCGGAGGAGCAUGUGGUUUAAUUCGAUGAUACGCGAGGAACCUUACCUGGGCUAGAACCGGCGCUGGAUGUUUGUGAAAGCAGACAGUCCUUCGGGACAGCGUUGGAGGUGCUGCAUGGUUGUCGUCAGCUCGUGCCGUGAGGUGUCGGAUUAAGUUCCAUAACGAGCGCAACCCCUACUGUUAGUUGCCAGCAUGUAAAGAUGGGGACUCUAGCAGGACUGCCGGCGCAAGCCGAGAGGAAGGUGGGGAUGACGUCAAAUCAGCACGGCCCUUAUGUCCAGGGCUACACACGUGCUACAAUGGUCGGUACAGAGGGCAGCUACCUGGUGACAGGAUGCCAAUCUCGAAAACCGGUCUCAGUUCGGAUCGAAGUCUGCAACUCGACUUCGUGAAGUUGGAUUCGCUAGUAAUCGCGCAUCAGCCAUGGCGCGGUGAAUACGUUCCCGGGCCUUGUACACACCGCCCGU